RNAcentral lists this ribosomal RNA (252 nucleotides) under uncultured bacterium. RNAcentral's name for it is "partial 16S ribosomal RNA". It matches the Rfam family "Bacterial small subunit ribosomal RNA", at positions 524 to 776 of the family's 1533-position model. The record is from RNAcentral.
UACGGAGGAUGCGAGCGUUAUCCGGAUUUAUUGGGUUUAAAGGGUGCGUAGGCGGGCUUUUAAGUCAGCGGUAAAAAUUCGGGGCUCAACCCCGUCCGGCCGUUGAAACUGGGGGCCUUGAGUGGGCGAGAAGAAGGCGGAAUGCGUGGUGUAGCGGUGAAAUGCAUAGAUAUCACGCAGAACCCCGAUUGCGAAGGCAGCCUUCUGGCGCCCUACUGACGCUGAGGCACGAAAGUGCGGGGAUCGAACAGG